GGAACACCCGUGGGGAAGGGGACUUUUUGGUUGUUAACGACGGUGAGGCGGAAAGGGUGGGGAGCCAACCAGAUUAGAUACCCUGGUAGUUCACCCCGUAAACGAUGAGUGGUAAGUGUUAGAGGGUUUCCGCCCUUUAGUGGUGCAGCAAACGCAUUAAGCACUCCGCCUGGGGAGUACGGCCGCAAGGCUGAAACUCAAAGGAAUUGACGGGGGCCCGCACAAGCGGUGGAGCAUGUGGUUUAAUUCGAAGCAACGCGAAGAACCUUACCAGGUCUUGACAUCCUCUGACACUCCUAGAGAUAGGACGUUCCCCUUCGGGGGACAGAGUGACAGGUGGUGCAUGGUGU
RNAcentral lists this ribosomal RNA (350 nucleotides) under Bacillus sp. M12. Its description in RNAcentral is "bacterial SSU rRNA". It matches the Rfam family "Bacterial small subunit ribosomal RNA", at positions 703 to 1051 of the family's 1533-position model. Lineage: Bacteria; Bacillati; Bacillota; Bacilli; Caryophanales; Bacillaceae. The record is from RNAcentral.